AGUAAUCUAGAGGUGAUUUAAAGUCUACGGAAGGAUGUGCAUAGGUUAUAUGCAAAUACUAUGCCAUAUUAUAUCAGAGCAUCUGUGAAUUUUGGUAUCUCUGGGGUCCUGGAACCAAUAUCCUGAGGUUUCUAAGGGACAACUGUAUUCAAUUUCUUCUCUGGUUAUUAGUCUAUUCUCUAAUGUAUUUUUGUUGUUGUUUUGUCUUUUUGUUUUUGCCUCUUCAAGUCAAUGUCGGAAACUUAGUUGUUUUAGACAACCCAUUAGCUCAGAGCUACCAGUAAGCAGACUACCACUGCAAUCUAAGCAACGGAUUUUUUCCCCCAUCAGACUGGCAAAAAAUAAGCAUCUAUUGAUGUUGAAAUUGUAGGGAGUUUUCCUGAGCAUGUUAAUUAUGACAGCCCUUUUUGCUAGGCACCUACACAAUUCAUCAAAAUGAAAUAAAACACCCAUGCACUUGAAGAAGUUAUCUGGUUAUUUCCUUAUCUGGGUGCUGGUUAUGUGAGGUCUACAGUUAAUGAACACUUAUUAAGCUUUAUAUUUCUAAUAGGUACAAUUUUCUGCAUGUGUAGUAGAUUUCAAUAGUUUUUAAAAUGUCUUUUGCCGCAGCCCGCAGCUGUGUAUAAUGCUAUUCGCUUAACAGUGGAAAACAUGGCAAUGACCUGAAUCCCCCUGGCUCCCGGGAUCCUACCCCCUUAAGUUAAACAAAUGAAAUAACUUCCACUGUCUUUCCUAAUGUCUUAAUUCGGUCCUCAGUUAAACUGGCGGUGGGCGCUGCUUUUUUUCCAGGGAAGGAUUCUGGAAGACAUAGGAGGAGACGCCAGCAUUUCGCCCUCCAGCACCUCCUGCGGGCUGUGGUCCGCUUCCGGCCUCACUCGAGCAGACCCCGCCCUCCCAGAGGCCGUUUGUCCAAGUCACGUGAUCGUCGAAUCUGUUGACCUGGCGCCACCGGAAAAAGAAAUUCCCGGGCCCUGGCUUCUUGGCCUGAUGGUGAGGCACCAGAGGCACUGCUAGCCUUGAAGCCUCCAGCCUGCUGGAUGCCUCCAUCCCCGGCUAUGCUGUGGCUCUCCUCAUUCUAGGCCUCCUGCUCGUCACAUUCACCCUUGUCCUGGUGCUAAAGUGGAGGGCCUCCCAUGGGGUGUUCAGCCUGGGUGUGUAGAAGCACACAGUGUGGUACAGAGGACCCUCUCCAGACAGAAAUGAUGCUGGGAGCUGACAGAAACUGAACUUAGGAGCACAGGAGGCCAGGAGACCUGGGACAGAGAACAGGAGGUGACCCCUCAUGCUGCUGCUCCCUCUGCUGAAACCCAAACUGCAAACCUCUCCUCUCCCUGCCUUCACCUUGCCCCACGGCUUCCACAGACAGUGCCUCAACCCCGAGGAAUGAAUCCGAAGUUCCAACACCACUGACUUUCCCAGGAACUCAGAGCCAGAGAGGGCCAAGGACCAGCUCGAGGACACACAGCCAGGGCUUCUUCCCUCCGAAACCCCCAAGGACUGGACUUGCAGGGCUGGGACAGAGGUGGGGUGGGGGAAAGCAAUGCCUUGUCAACCCACGUGGGGAGCCCCACUCCCAUCCCCAAGGUGCAUAAAGUUGAGGAACACCCCUGCU
This 1612-nucleotide long non-coding RNA is filed under the name Homo sapiens (human). RNAcentral describes it as "HSALNT0382385". The record is from RNAcentral. Lineage: Eukaryota; Metazoa; Chordata; Mammalia; Primates; Hominidae.